Molecule: ribosomal RNA, 506 nt
Filed under: uncultured bacterium
Lineage: Bacteria
Description: partial 16S ribosomal RNA
Rfam family: Bacterial small subunit ribosomal RNA
Source: RNAcentral
AUUGAACGCUGGCGGCAAGCCUAACACAUGCAAGUCGAACGGUAACAGAAAGCAGCUUGCUGCUUUGCUGACGAGUGGCGGACGGGUGAGUAAUGUCUGGGAAACUGCCUGCUGGAGGGGGAUAACUACUGGAAACGGUAGCUAAUACCGCAUAACGUCGCAAGACCAAAGAGGGGGACCUUCGGGCCUCUUGCCAUCGGAUGUGCCCAGAUGGGAUUAGCUAGUAGGUGGGGUAAUGGCUCACCUAGGCGACGAUCCCUAGCGGGUCUGAGAGGAUGACCAGCCACACUGGAACUGAGACACGGUCCAGACUCCUACGGGAGGCAGCAGUGGGGAAUAUUGCACAAUGGGCGCAAGCCUGAUGCAGCCAUGCCGCGUGUAUGAAGAAGGCCUUCGGGUUGUAAAGUACUUUCAGCGAGGAGGGAGGUGUUGUGGUUAAUAACCACAGCAAUUGACGUUACUCGCAGAAGAAGCACCGGCUAACUCCGUGCCAGCCGCCGCAGUAA